GGUAACUACGGCACGUCGGCGAGGGGAAGAUGUGGGGGGGAAGCGGUGUCCUGAUUUAUUGGGCGUAAAGGGGGCGCAGGCGGGUUCGUAAGUCGGAUGUGAAAGCCCACGGCUCAACCGUGGAAGGUCAUUGGAAACUGGGGAACUUGAGUGCAGAAGAGGGGAGUGGAAUUCCAUGUGUAGCGGUGAAAUGCGUAGAUAUAUGGAGGAACACCAGUGGCGAAGGCGACUCUCUGGUCUGUAACUGACGCUGAGGCUCGAAAGCGUGGGGAGCAAACAGGAUUAGAUACCCCGGUAGUC
RNAcentral lists this ribosomal RNA (300 nucleotides) under uncultured Lactobacillus sp. RNAcentral describes it as "bacterial SSU rRNA". It matches the Rfam family "Bacterial small subunit ribosomal RNA", at positions 496 to 795 of the family's 1533-position model. The record is from RNAcentral. Lineage: Bacteria; Bacillati; Bacillota; Bacilli; Lactobacillales; Lactobacillaceae.